AAAGUUAAGACAGGUAUCUCUAAGUAUAAACUAUUUCAGACUGAGAACCUGAGGAUGGCUCAUUAUCUCAGAUAUAGCUUCUUUGAUGGCACCUUGCUACUCGUAUAACCGAAGGGAUUCUAGAGCUAAUACGUGCACCAAGUCCCACCUGUCGGAAGGGAUGCAUUAAUUAGAUAAAUGGCCGGCGAGGACUUUCGGCCGCCGGUCAGGUGGAUUCAUUAUAACUCGACGGUUCGCACGGUCCUUGAUCCGCAGACGCUUCAUUCAUAUUUCUACCCUAUCAACUUGCGAUGGUAGGAUAGUGGCCUACCAUAGUGGUGACGGGUGACGGAGAAUUAGGGUUCGAUUCCGGAGAGGGAGCCU
Molecule: ribosomal RNA, 363 nt
Filed under: Araucaria luxurians
Lineage: Eukaryota; Viridiplantae; Streptophyta; Pinopsida; Araucariales; Araucariaceae
Description: SSU rRNA
Rfam family: Eukaryotic small subunit ribosomal RNA
Source: RNAcentral